GGUUCGACGCGCCAGCCGCGCCGCUCCGUCGCUCGUCAGCCCGUCCUCUCGGUCCAAUUAGAGGGAGUGGUUCAAUAAUGCGCCAACCUUUCUCCGGCAGCCAAAGAGUUAACCCGCCGAGCCUGUAGUUGAGAGCGCCAUCCAACCGGGCUGUGUCGCUAAGGGAGAAGCGGCGACUUGUGGAGAAGCAACAGAUCCCCGCUGGAAAACAGCCCCGCAUCUGGCGCGCUCGCCGAGGACCGCUGAGAUAUUUCGGUGCACAAUUAAGCGCGCGACUGCCUCGCAAUCGGGCGCGUGGGCCUCGCGUGGCGAACGGAAAAGUUGUCAGGAGUAGUUGUGGACCGAAGCCUUGCCGAAUUCUGGAUGUUUGUGCGCGAGAGGCGAGGACUGACACCUGACUUCGACCCGCGCGGCUCACACGCAGGCCCGCGGAGCCGCGCGUAAUUAGCCAAUGCGCCGUUUCUGUUGAGGGCGUCUGUACACGUGCAGACGGGAAAUGAGUGCAGCGUUAGAGUUCGCCCAUGCAAAACGCACUGGAAAUCUGUAGAGCCGUUUAAUUUGCAGAAGUGCCUCAAGCCUCACUCCGUUCUGCUUCAGUCUGGUAACAGGUGGUUUUGACUGAGCGCCUCUUUGCGUUUGGAUAAAUGAACACCGACCAUUGGGAGCAACGUGGUCUGAAAUGAGGACAUAUUCCGCGUUGAUUUUUUGAUUUUUUUUUUUUUUUUUGCACGACUGGACCAGGUUGUAACGGAGGGCGGACGGCCGGAAGGUCUCUGCGUCUAAAUGAUCAGCUCGGUGUGUGUUUCGUCUUACCGAGGGCGCAAGUCAGGAAACAAGCCUCCGUCCAAAUCAUGUCUGAAGGAGGAGAUGGCCAGGGGCGAAGACUCGGACAAAAUCAUCAUCAACGUGGGCGGCACUCGGCAUGAAACCUACAAGAGCACCCUGCGGACGCUGCCGGGGACCCGCCUCGCGUGGCUCCUGGACUCGGACGCGCAGGUCAGCUCCGACUCGGACUCCGCGCCCCCGAGCGUCGCCGAGUUCUUCUUCGACAGACACCCGGGCAUCUUCGCCUACGUGCUCAACUACUACCGGACCGGCAAGCUGCACUGCCCGGCCGACGUGUGCGGGCCGCUGUUCGAGGAGGAGCUGGCGUUCUGGGGCAUCGACGAGACCGACGUGGAGCCGUGCUGCUGGAUGACCUACAGGCAGCACCGGGACGCGGAGGAGGCCCUGGAGAUAUUCGAACCCCCCGACCCGGACGACACGGACGACGACAGGGAGAUGCCGAGGCGGUUCGGCAUCGAGGACUGUCCGGACAGGUCGAGGGGCUGCUGCGACGUGUGGCAGCCGAAGGUCUGGGCCCUGUUCGACGACCCGUACUCGUCCAGAGCGGCCAGGGGAGUGGCGCUGGCUUCUCUCUUCUUCAUCCUUGUGUCCAUCACCACCUUCUGCCUGGAGACCCACGAGGCCUUCAACGAGCUGCAGAACCGGACGAGGCGCGUCGUCGUGGGGAACGUCACGCGUGAGGUGGCGCGGAAGGAGAUGGUGACCAAGCCCAUCCUCACCCUGGUGGAGGGCGUCUGCGUGGUCUGGUUCACCUUCGAGUUCCUGGUGCGCAUCAUCUGCUGCCCCGACAAGCUGCUCUUCGUCAAGAACACGCUGAACAUCAUUGACUUCGUGGCCAUUCUGCCGUUCUACCUGGAGAUGGGCCUCAGCGGCCUGUCGUCCAAAGCCGCCAGCGACGUGCUGGGCUUCCUCCGCGUGGUCCGCUUUGUCCGGAUCCUCCGCAUCUUCAAGCUGACGCGCCACUUCGUGGGCCUGCGCGUGCUGGGCCACACGCUGAAGGCCAGCGUCAACGAGUUCCUCCUGCUCAUCAUCUUCUUGGCGCUGGGCGUGCUCAUCUUCGCCACCAUGAUCUACUACGCCGAGCGGAUCGGCGCCAGGCCCGACGACCCCACCGGCUCCAACCACACGCACUUCAAGAACAUCCCCAUCAGCUUCUGGUGGGCGGUGGUCACCAUGACGACGCUCGGCUACGGCGACAUGUACCCGCAGACGUGGCUGGGCAUGAUGGUGGGGGCGCUGUGCGCGCUGGCGGGGGUGCUGACCAUCGCCAUGCCGGUGCCCGUCAUCGUCAACAACUUUGGGAUGUACUACUCGCUGGCCAUGGCCAAGCAGAAGCUGCCCAAGAAGAAGAAGAAGCACAACCCCAACCCGGACGCGCCCGCGACCGACUCCGCCUCGUUCAUGAAGUCGGAGACGAACUCGCACAGAGACAGCACCCAGAGCGACACGUGUCCCCUGGCUGCUGACGAGGGCAUCGGCAGGAACCGCUCAGACUCCAAACAGAACGGGGACGCCAACGUGGCGCUGUCAGAGGAGGAAGGCUGCAGCCUGACGCAGCCUCUGUCCCCGAGUGAAAAGUGGACCCUGCGGUGCCCCCGAGGGCGCGACAAGACCAUGAAGGAGGCCACGUGCUUCCUUUUAGCCUCAGGGGACCUCAACGUCCACACGGAAAGGAGGAGCGGGAGGAUGGACGCAUGAGGGAGACAUACAGGACGUGAUAGAGUUGUAGGAAUCAGGCCAGUGGAGCAUUGGCUUCACAGCUUUUGAAGAGAGCUGUAAAGACAUCCUCGCCGCCACCGGGAGCUACGCUCAGCCGGAGGUCACCACGCUGACCUGAUGCCGAGAGGAGCGUGAUCCUGCUGCUCCAGGCGCCGCCUCCGGCCUCGGCCUCCUUCUGCUGCGUGAAUGAACUGUGCACCAGACUCUUUUUAUUCCAGACACCUAUUUCUCAUAUGUUUCUGGUUAUAAAGCAUCAUAACAGGUUUAUUACAUGUAAAGUCAUUUAUAUUUCACAAAGCGCUCUGCAUGUGUUGCAUGAUUCCCAUUGUAUGGUUUAUUGAACAACUGGUGUCCAUAUUAUUUCGUGCAUAUGUCAUACUUCAGCCUAAAACUGCACACCAGGACUUGCGUUUUGAUAUUAAGGCUCACGUUUGGAUCAAGCAAACUGUAAAUCUGAACCUGCACAUCCUGCUGGAGCUGACGAACAGGUUUCCACCUUUGCUGCUUAUUUAUUCAUUAAAGUCAUAAGAUGUAAAGCGUACAGAAACAAUCGGUUCUUUUGUGACUCGCUCCUCGUCGUCGGACAUAGAUGUCGUCAGCUAUAGAACAAGAACACACAAACGCUUGCGUAUAUGGUUUUGUGCAGCCAAACUGUGACUGUGAACUAGGGUUAGAAAACUUGAAAUCAUCGCUCCUUUCUCGGCGCCGCUGACCCGGAGUCUCUGCCUUCUGUUCGCCGACGUCCGUGGCUUGUAAAUCCUUGUACAGUAAUAGCUUAAACCUGUGGAGCAGUAUUAUUUGUCUUUUACAGUUGAUGAUCCACUGAGGACCAAAUGCAGGCGAUCAGAACCACGGUUAGUGAAAACACACCCAGUGCAGUGCCAUCAGUUCCGCUCGUGCCUCAUGUUGAGUAAUGAAGCUUAAAUGUGUGCAGUAAUGUAAUGCGAUUUGUUGCCGGACACGUCGGGUUGCGUCGGGAGAGAAGCAGGAGGCGUUUGGUUUCUUUCACUUGUGACUUUUGACAUAUUCCUCAUGGUCGACCGUAGUGGCCUUAUGUUUAAUAAACAAAGGGAAAGUC
This is an RNA transcript of Betta splendens (Siamese fighting fish), 3643 nucleotides long. It is a transcript of the gene named potassium voltage-gated channel, Shaw-related subfamily, member 4, with no coding region annotated. NCBI's taxonomy places the organism in Eukaryota, Metazoa, Chordata, Actinopteri, Anabantiformes, Osphronemidae. The transcript has 5 exons. The record is from RefSeq and is a predicted model, not a curated record.